RNAcentral lists this ribosomal RNA (206 nucleotides) under Orbiliales sp. Its description in RNAcentral is "partial large subunit ribosomal RNA". Lineage: Eukaryota; Fungi; Ascomycota; Orbiliomycetes; Orbiliales. The record is from RNAcentral.
AAGCGCUUAUGACCAGACUUGUGCCGGGCGGAUCAUCCUGUGUUCUCACUGGUGCACUCCGUCCGGUUCAGGCCAGCAUCGGUUCUGGGGGGGGCAUAAAGGCCGCAGGAACGUAGCUCUUCGGAGUGUUAUAGCCCGGCGUGCCAUGCCCCCGCCCGGACCGAGGUUCGCGCUCCGCAAGGACGCUGGCGUAAUGGUCCCCAGCG